RNAcentral lists this long non-coding RNA (2079 nucleotides) under Sorghum bicolor (sorghum). RNAcentral describes it as "long non-coding RNA (SBIC_LNC018313)". The record is from RNAcentral. Lineage: Eukaryota; Viridiplantae; Streptophyta; Magnoliopsida; Poales; Poaceae.
GGAUUGAAGGAGAGGAACUCGAUUAUUUCAGGGAUUGUAGCAAAGUAGAGCAUGCUUUGUUCUCAAAAAUAAGAGAUACAUGCCACUACUGGUCCCUAGCUGUAGGGAAGAUAAUCUUUAAGCCCCCUAAUGCUGGUUAUGCGACUCCCUAAUGUAUAAUAAGUUUAUGUAGAACACAAAAAACUCAAUCCGUAGGGUGGAUAGUGUUUCCUCGUUGUUGUAAUAGUUGUUUGCUACCUUCUCUUUAUUACAAAGCAAAGCCGGUUAUUCAGAUUUUUUCAGAGAAGAGAGAGAGAGAGAGAGAGAGAGAGAGAGAGAGAGAGGAUUGGAGGGUGUCUACUUUGAGCUCUGUGUUUAUUGGCAACCCCAGCUGACCUUUGUAUCUAAAUUUAUGGCUUUAGGAAAAUCUUUAAAAACAAGAGUGUCACUAGCCAUUUCUACGGAGUAUCUUAUAGUAUAUACUAUCAUCGUAUAUACGCAAGAGGGAAUGCAUAUUAUUCCUGAUCAGUGCUUGGAAUAUUUAUUUGUUGAUACUUGUUGAUAUAUUCUUGGUGAGUACUGUUGGAUGUGCGUGCGUGCAUGCUGAGCACAUGACAUAGGUAAUCACAAAGUGCAAAAGGGGCACAUAUACUGCCAGUACUUAUAUCACCGCCUAAGCGUAGUAGUCGUAACUUUCUUACUACUGCGCAUACCAUGCACACACUGUAAAAUAGUUGCACGGGUAACGGACGAACGUGGAUCAGUCCGCAGCAGCUGACCUGUCCACGAAGCAGAGUCGUGCAGAGAAGCAGGCAACUGUGCUACUUCCAGAGACGAUGAACUACUGUAUAUAUAUGCAUGAGACUGUGUCCAGGCUAUUAAGCAUGUGUUUAAUUUAUUAUGGGACGUCUUGAUUGAGAUGAGGUUGUCUCAUGUUCGAUGCAUGUCCUCUGUUACUGUUAAGAUGAAAAUGAUGGGUCUGUGUUCCUUUUUUUUUUUUGUUUAGAGUGACGUCUUAGCGAUAGAAUGAAUAGAGAGCUUUUAUACGGUCAGUCAUGGCCCCUAAUGUCAGCCAUGAACCGCGCGCACUCAUCAGCCUGUCACCCACAUCUCUUCUUCUACUUGUCCUUUUAUUAUGCACCACUAUCACCCAGUCUCUCCCGAUGGCACCUCUCCCUGCUGGCGUGCCUCCGCUCUGGCCUGCCCCUGUACUGUACACAACACCCACCGGGUCACCAUGCAUUAAGCUCAUCUGCCAUGACUUUGGUGUGAGGUCUCACAGCCGGUGUGCUUCCCCUCUGACAAUCCACCUCUCUUCAUCCUGGUCGAGCCCCUAGGUCGGCCGUGGCGCCCUAGCUACCCUUGGAGAUAUGUGUCGUCGUCGGUCAUCGGCGCAUCCAUGACAUGCUCGCUUGCCUAGGCGUCAAGAAUAGUCUCCCUAUCGUCGCUCGCCUGACAGUACUACUGCCCAAGUGCCACCCACUCGGUCUGCCGUCAGGCUUGCCCGUCCGCUUCAGCAUGCCACGGGGAAAUAAGUUAUUUUUUACUUUAAGAGUAUGUGCCUUCCAUGUGCAUGCACCACUGCACAUGGUAGUUCUCUUCUGCUGCACAUACCCUUACUAAGGGUAAUUUUUCUGCCUUUCCACGCUACGAACUCAAUCUUAGUGUCAAUAGUUUCGAUGAAUGCACACUAAAUAUUUGAGCAUGCAAACAGAGUCAUCAACUUGAUGAUCUCGUCUACUCAAUUUGAGGGGACCAAGAUGUUCCCGAUCCAAUAAAAAUAUAUUUUAUAAUCUAAUGAUGCAUUUUUAUAAUAUAAAUAAAUCUUUCUAUUUUUUGUGAACUUAAUUAAACUUAAAAUUAUUUGACUCCAAAAUGACGAUCCCGUCUACUCAAUUUGAGGGGACCAAGAUGUUCCUGAUCCAAUAGAAAUAUAUUUUAUAAAUCUAAUGAUGCAUUUUUUAUAAUAUAAUAUAAAACUUUCUAACUUAUUAAAUAAACUUAAAAUUAUUUGACUCCAAAAUGAAAAUUGCAUAUAUUGGCUCCUUGUCGAUCUGGAUGCAUUCGAUCAUCUAGCUUAAUCGCAUUGCCUGCGCGAUA